GCGAUUCGCCCUUGGGGGUGCGCGGGCGCGAAAACUUUACAAUGCCGGCAACGGAUAUGAGGGAACCUCGAGUGCCACGUUACGAAUCUGGCUGUCAUGAUGCCUAAAAAGCAUUGCAUAACAGGGGCCGGGCAAGACCGGUGCCAGCCGCCGCGGUAACACCGGCGGCUCGAGUGGUAACCGUUAUUAUUGGGUCUAAAGGGUCUGUAUCCGGCCGGGUAAGUCUCUUGGGAAAUCUGGCAUCUUAACUGUCAGGCUUUCAGGAGAUACUGCCUGGCUCGAGGCCGGGAGAGGUGAGAGGUACUUCAGGGGUAGGGGUGAAAUCUUGUAAUCCUUGAAGGACCACCAGUGGCGAAGGCGUCUCACCAAAACGGACCUGACGGCAAGGGACGAAAGCUAGGGGCACGAACCGGAUUAUAUACCCGGGUAGUCCUAGCCGUAAACGAUACUCGCUAGGUGUCGGCCACGGUGCGACCGUGGUCGGUGCCGUAGGGAAGCCGUGAAGCGAGCCACCUGGGAAGUACGGCCGCAAGGCUGAAACUUAAAGGAAUUGGCGGGGGAGCAC
This 565-nucleotide ribosomal RNA is filed under the name uncultured archaeon. Its description in RNAcentral is "bacterial SSU rRNA". It matches the Rfam family "Archaeal small subunit ribosomal RNA", at positions 313 to 879 of the family's 1478-position model. The record is from RNAcentral.